AACGAACGCUGGCGGCAGGCCUAACACAUGCAAGUCGAGCGCCCUUUCGUGGUUUCUGCGGACUGGUGAGUAACGCGUGGGAAUAUGCCCUUCUCUACGUAAUAUCCUCGGUAAACUGAGAUUAAUACCUUAUACGCCCUGUGGGGGUAAGAUUUAUCGGGGAAGGAUUAGCCCGCGUUUUAUUAGGUAGUUGGUUGGGUAAUUGCCUACCAUGCCGACGAUCCAUAGAUGGUUUGAGAGGAUGAUCAGCCACACUGGGACUGAGACACGGGCCAGAAUCGUACGGGAGGGAGGAGUGGGGAAUAUUAGAAAAUGGGGGAAAACCUGAUCAAGCCAUGGCGGGUGAGUGAUGAAGGGAUUAGGGUUGUAAAGCUAUUUCAGAUGGGAAGAUAAUGACGGUAACAGGAGAAGAAGCACCGGCUAACUACGUG
This 431-nucleotide ribosomal RNA is filed under the name uncultured bacterium. Its description in RNAcentral is "partial 16S ribosomal RNA". It matches the Rfam family "Bacterial small subunit ribosomal RNA", at positions 29 to 507 of the family's 1533-position model. The record is from RNAcentral.